This 401-nucleotide ribosomal RNA is filed under the name uncultured bacterium. RNAcentral's name for it is "bacterial SSU rRNA". It matches the Rfam family "Bacterial small subunit ribosomal RNA", at positions 355 to 773 of the family's 1533-position model. The record is from RNAcentral.
UGGGGAAUCUUGCACAAUGGAGGAAACUCUGAUGCAGCGACGCCGCGUGAGUGAUGAAGCCCUUCGGGGUGUAAAGCUCUUUCGACAGGAACGAUAAUGACGGUACCUGAAGAAGAAGCUGCGGCUAACUACGUGCCAGCAGCCGCGGUAAUACGUAGGCAGCAAGCGUUGUUCGGAAUUACUGGGCGUAAAGAGUGUGUAGGCGGUGCUCUAAGUUUGGUGUGAAAUCUCCCGGCUUAACCGGGAGGCUGCAUCGAAUACUGGAGUGCUAGAGGGUUGGAGAGGUAAGCGGAAUUCCUGGUGUAGCGGUGAAAUGCGUAGAUAUCAGGAGGAACACCUGUGGUGUAGACAGCUUACUGGACAAUUUCUGACGCUGAGACACGAAAGCGUGGGUAGCAAAC